RNAcentral lists this small nuclear RNA (315 nucleotides) under Sarcophilus harrisii (Tasmanian devil). RNAcentral's name for it is "7SK RNA". It matches the Rfam family "7SK RNA". From Rfam's summary of the family: 7SK was discovered as an abundant small nuclear RNA in the mid-70s but a possible function has only recently been suggested. Lineage: Eukaryota; Metazoa; Chordata; Mammalia; Dasyuromorphia; Dasyuridae. The record is from Rfam by way of RNAcentral.
AGAUGGGGGUGAUCUGGCUGUGACGUGUCACUCCUAUUGAGUACCAUGGUGGAUUCAGCUGUUCUGAGGAUGAGGGUGUCCUUUUCCCCCUUUGCUACUUCAUGCGCAUCUUUCUUGGAGCAGUUCACUCAAUUAAAGGUGACCCAGUUGUGGCCUACUAAGGUACAGAAGUAGAUGUGCUCCCUUGCUACGACAAGCUUUUCAGUGUCCUUUCUGUAUAGCCCUCAAAGCUGGAUACUCAUACUAAAGUAGUAAUCUGAUGAAAACAGAAAAGCAUGAUAAAUAUUGUCCUUGAUUUGGACACUAUGCUGUUUU